UGCCAGACUCCUACGGGAGGCAGCAGUAGGGAAUCUUUCACAAUGGGCGAAAGCCUGAUGGAGCAACGCCGCGUGCAGGAUGAAGGCCUUCGGGUUGUAAACUGCUUUUAUAAGCGAGAAAUAUGAUGGUAACUUAUGAAUAAGGAUCGGCUAACUACGUGCCAGCAGCCGCGGUAAUACGGAGGAUGCGAGCGUUAUCCGGAUUUAUUGGGUUUAAAGGGUGCGCAGGCGGCGAGUUAAGUCAGCGGUAAAAUUUGGGGGCCAAACCCAGACGAGCCGUUGAAACUGGCUUGCUAGAGUGGGCGAGAAGUAUGCGGAAUGCGUGGUGUAGCGGUGAAAUGCAUAGAUAUCACGCAGAACUCCGAUUGCGAAGGCAGCAUACCGGCGCCCAACUGACGCUCAGGCACGAAAGCGUGGGUAUCGAACAGGAUUAGAUACCCCUGUAA
This 446-nucleotide ribosomal RNA is filed under the name uncultured bacterium. RNAcentral's name for it is "bacterial SSU rRNA". It matches the Rfam family "Bacterial small subunit ribosomal RNA", at positions 329 to 793 of the family's 1533-position model. The record is from RNAcentral.